CCCCGCCUUCUAAAUACACAUACGCACUUACUGACAGACACAUAUACACUCAGUGUCAGUGAGUGCGUAUGUGUAUUUAGAAGGCGGGG
This 89-nucleotide microRNA precursor is filed under the name Pelobates cultripes (western spadefoot toad). The record is from RNAcentral. Lineage: Eukaryota; Metazoa; Chordata; Amphibia; Anura; Pelobatidae.